UUGCUUUAGGGAUAAACAACUCCUUGAUAAUUGAAUUCAUUCAUUUCUUAUGAUCAUCAUAGUGUUUGUGUUUUGCUCAUCAUUAUCGAAUGAUACAAUU
Small nucleolar RNA from Capsicum annuum, 100 nucleotides. RefSeq annotates it as small nucleolar RNA snoR99. The transcript has a single exon. The record is from RefSeq and is a predicted model, not a curated record. Lineage: Eukaryota; Viridiplantae; Streptophyta; Magnoliopsida; Solanales; Solanaceae.